Molecule: small nuclear RNA, 105 nt
Filed under: Lottia gigantea (owl limpet)
Lineage: Eukaryota; Metazoa; Mollusca; Gastropoda; Lottiidae
Source: RNAcentral
GCUUGCGUAUGGAAUUCAUAUACUAAAGUUGGGACAAUACAGAGAAGAUUAGCAUGGCCCCUGCGGGAAGAUGACGUGCAAAUUCGUGAAGCUUUCCAUAUUUAU